Molecule: long non-coding RNA, 748 nt
Organism: Juglans microcarpa x Juglans regia
Lineage: Eukaryota; Viridiplantae; Streptophyta; Magnoliopsida; Fagales; Juglandaceae
Exons: 2
Source: RefSeq, a predicted model, not a curated record
UUAAGUCGACUUAGGUUUAUCUAGAGAAUGAGGUGAUGGACAGGUUCAUUUAAUUGUUUUGGGAAUUGUCUCAAGUACUAUGCCUUGUUCUGUUUUGAAAGAUAGAAACUUUUAACAGGAAUCGAGACUUUAGACAGAUUUUGGUGUCAUGCUUUGAUUGCCAGAAUGCAAUACAAUUCGCUUGUUGUUAGCAUUUUAACAUGCAUUUUAUCUGGUUUUAGAUAGAUUUUUACUUGGUUUGAAAAAAAAAUAAUGUCAAAUUGAUGUGAACAAUAGAUGCAGCCAGAUUUUUUCUUCCCAUACCUCUAUUCUAUCUACAAAUUGGUGUCAUACUUGCCUCGUGGUUUAUAUGAUAUUUGAUAUUCUGCUCCUACCAUCUAAUAAUUCUGAUAAUGAAGCAUGUGGGUAAUAAUUCAAUGUUGCACUUAAAGUAGUCAUAUGUCAAUCAUCACGUAGAUCAGCUAUGGCAUCGAGUCAAUUAUCAUCAUGUGUAGUUAAUGAUCUUGAAAUGAAAUCACCGAGUUGUUGGUGUGGUUUGAAAGCACCAUUAAAGAUCUCUCACACCCACAAAAAUCCUAGAAGGAAAUUUUAUGCUUGUCCGAAUUAUGCAACGGAAGAAACAAGAUUUCAAUUCUUCAUUUGGGCAGAUAUACUUCAAUCAGUAGUAUCUGAGAAAAACCUGACGAGAGAGAAUGAAAUUCGGAAGAGGGAGGAUGCUUUAUUGUUGCGUGAGUAUGAAGCUCAAAAA